CCACUGAACCACCUACCAGACCACACCGUACACCCACGUUCUCUAUGCAAGGACUUGUGUUCAGCUCCCAGUCCCCAUCUGCAGGAGGGAAAGUUCACAAGUGGUGAAGCAGUGCUGCAGCCACCAGGUUCCAGAUGCUAGCAUGAUGUCAACCAGACUUCCCUGGACAGACAAUCCCACCAAUGUGUCCUGGAGCCCCACUUCCUCAAAGCCCCACCCUACUAGGGAAAGAGAGAGACAGGCUGGGAGUAUGGCUCGACCUGUCAACGCCCAUGUUCAGCGGGAAAGCAAUUACAGAAGCCAGACCUUCCACCUUCUGUACCCCAUAACGACCCUGGGUCCGUACUCCCAGAGGGAUAAAGAAUAGGAAAGCUAUCAAGGGAGGGGAUGGGAUACGGAGUUCUGGCAGUGGGAACUGUGUGGAGUUGUACCCCUCUUAUACUAUGGUUUUAUCAGUGUUUCCUUUUUAUAAAACAUUUAAAAACGAAUAAAAAUAUUUAUUUUU
Molecule: long non-coding RNA, 505 nt
Organism: Erinaceus europaeus (western European hedgehog)
Lineage: Eukaryota; Metazoa; Chordata; Mammalia; Eulipotyphla; Erinaceidae
Exons: 2
Source: RefSeq, a predicted model, not a curated record